CAUGGUUUGAUGAGCAGUGCCAUGUCAGCGCCCAGGAUUCGAACCAAGGAAACACUGGGCCGCCUGCAGCGGAGCACGAGAAGUUAACCACUUGGCCACGGGGCCAGCCCCAGGAGACCUGUGAUUUUUAUGACUCAAUAUCCAAAGUUACCAUGGAGUACAUAGCUGUAUACUUUAGCCGUGGACCCUUCCAGUUGGGACAUGUGGGACGCCGCCCCAGUGUGGCCCGAUGAGAGGUGCCAUGUCUGUGCCCAGGAUCUGAACCGGUGAAACCCUGGGCCGCUGAAGCGGAGCAUGUGAACUCAACCACCCGGCCACAGGGCCAGCCUCCUGAGCUGUUGCUGUUUUAAAUAGCAGAUUCCAUGAAUGUGUUCUUGCCUGCUUGUGGACUUGGAUUAUCAACAUGACAGAAGGUGAGGGGAGGGUAAGCUUAAAGUUAUGUGGCAUUGAGUAAUAACCAAAUGAAUGUUUAUCAGAAGAAGAGAUAAGGGACUCCGAAAUGAGACCUCAAUAGAUAUUUACAAUGCAGAUUUCAUAAACCAUUACUGAGUGCUUCCCAUGUCCCAGGCCCUGGCCUUUCUCAUUGCAUACAAUCUUCAGGUCAGCCCUUGAGUUCAGCUCCAUUUUAGAGGAGGAAGUUGAAGUUUAGAGAAGUUGAGAGAUUGCCCAAGAUCACAAAGCUUGUAAAUUGCAAAGACAGAAUUCAAAUAAUCCCAAGUCUAUUUCUUCAUUAUAGUAAACGAAUUAGAAGCCAGUGAUUCAACUUACACACACACCACAUUUAUUUCACGGAGAACCUUUCAGGAAUGUAGACCAAUGGUCAGAAAUUGUGAAACUUUAAAUUGGGCCAGUUCAUUUUGCAGUUGUAGAUUGACGCGAGAUAAAAAAAAAAAUACUCCUCCCACAGCCAUCCACAUCUCCCUCUGCCUGGGUUGCUGUUUGUUGGUGAGAGCACUACUCCAAAGAUAGAAGAGACCCUUUCUUUCACAAUUAGAGCCCUUUUUAUACCAGGUUAGCUCCAGAGGAGCCAGGCAACUCUUAAAAUCUUUGACUUCAGUUCAUUUAUAACACAAGAGUGGAAGUUGCUGGAAAAAUUUUUUGUUUUUGAUUUUUCUUCUUCCUUUGUGUCUUAAACAGAGACUAGAGGUCAUCCUUCAGGACAGUUGAUCCCAGUAUGAUUUUGGUGAGCUUGGGGGGAAAAGGAAAGGAGACUAUGUCCUUAAUUCAUAAGAGGGUUACUUAAAACUUUCCCCUCAUUUUCAGUAGGGAAAACCAGGAUCGGUGCCUUCAGAGAACAAAAGGAUAUUUGCUUGGGGUUCUUCAAGGGAGUUCAGUAAAGGGAUCAAAGAGGAGUCAUGAAAAAAUAAUUGAGUUGAAAGGCAGUUGGAAGUGACCUAAAGAUCAUUUUGUGAUUAUAUGUUUUUACAGCUUUAUUGAAGUAUAAUUGACAUACAAUAAAAUGCCUAUAAAGUA
Equus quagga is the source of this 1473-nucleotide long non-coding RNA. RefSeq lists it as uncharacterized. Lineage: Eukaryota; Metazoa; Chordata; Mammalia; Perissodactyla; Equidae. The record is from RefSeq and is a predicted model, not a curated record. The transcript is spliced from 2 exons.